This 465-nucleotide ribosomal RNA is filed under the name uncultured bacterium. Its description in RNAcentral is "partial 16S ribosomal RNA". It matches the Rfam family "Bacterial small subunit ribosomal RNA", at positions 28 to 507 of the family's 1533-position model. The record is from RNAcentral.
GACGAACGCUGGCGGCGUGCUUAACACAUGCAAGUCGAACGGAAAGGCCCCUUUGGGGGUACUCGAGUGGCGAACGGGUGAGUAACACGUGCGUAACCUGCCCUUGACUUCGGGAUAACUUCAGGAAACUGGGGCUAAUACCGGAUAGGAAUCCUUGCUGCAUGGUGGGGGUUGGAAAGCUUCGGCGGUUUUGGAUGGACUCGCGGCUUAUCAGCUUGUUGGUGGGGUAGUGGCUUACCAAGGCUUUGACGGGUAGCCGGCCUGAGAGGGCGACCGGCCACAUUGGGACUGAGAGACGGCCCAGACUCCUACGGGAGGCAGCAGUGGGGAAUAUUGCACAAUGGGCGGAAGCCUGAUGCAGCAACGCCGCGGGCGGGAUGACGGUCUUCGGGUUGUAAACCGCUUUCAGCAGGGGCGAAGCUUGUGGUGACGGUACCUGCAGAAGAAGCACCGGCUAACUACGUG